This 301-nucleotide ribosomal RNA is filed under the name uncultured bacterium. Its description in RNAcentral is "partial 16S ribosomal RNA". It matches the Rfam family "Bacterial small subunit ribosomal RNA", at positions 509 to 807 of the family's 1533-position model. The record is from RNAcentral.
CAGCAGCCGCGGGAACACGAAGGGGGCUAGCGUUGCUCGGAAUGACUGGGCGUAAAGGGCGCGUAGGCGGCAUAUACAGUCAGGCGUGAAAUUCCCGGGCUUAACCUGGGGGCUGCGUUUGAUACGUAUGGGCUAGAGUGAGGAAGAGGGUCGUGGAAUUCCCAGUGUAGAGGUGAAAUUCGUAGAUAUUGGGAAGAACACCGGUGGCGAAGGCGGCGACCUGGUCCUUUACUGACGCUGAGGCGCGAAAGCGUAGGGAGCAAACAGGAUUAGAUACCCCCGUAGUCCCUGUCUCUUAUAC